GGGGAAUAUUGCACAAUGGGGGAAACCCUGAUGCAGCGACGCCGCGUGAGUGAAGAAGUAUUUCGGUAUGUAAAGCUCUAUCAGCAAGGAAGAUAAUGACGGUACUUGACUAAGAAGCCCCGGCUAACUACGUGCCAGCAGCCGCGGUAAUACGUAGGGGGCAAGCGUUAUCCGGAUUUACUGGGUGUAAAGGGAGCGUAGGUGGCAUGGUAAGUCAGAUGUGAAAGCCCAGGGCUCAACCCUGGGAUUGCAUUUGAAACUAUCAGGCUAGAGUGCAGGAGAGGUAAGUGGAAUUCCUAGUGUAGCGGUGAAAUGCGUAGAUAUUAGGAAGAACACCAGUGGCGAAGGCGGCUUACUGGACUGUCACUGACACUGAGGCUCGAAAGCGUGGGGAGCAAAC
This 400-nucleotide ribosomal RNA is filed under the name uncultured bacterium. RNAcentral describes it as "bacterial SSU rRNA". It matches the Rfam family "Bacterial small subunit ribosomal RNA", at positions 356 to 773 of the family's 1533-position model. The record is from RNAcentral.